CGCGUGGGGGAUGAAGGCCUUCGGGUUGUAAACCCCUUUCAGCAGGGAAGAAGCGAAAGUGACGGUACCUGCAGAAGAAGCGCCGGCUAACUACGUGCCAGCAGCCGCGGUAAUACGUAGGGCGCAAGCGUUGUCCGGAAUUAUUGGGCGUAAAGAGCUCGUAGGCGGCUUGUCGCGUCUGCUGUGAAAGCACGAGGCUCAACCUCGUGUCUGCAGUGGGUACGGGCAGGCUAGAGUGUGGUAGGGGAGACUGGAAUUCCUGGUGUAGCGGUGGAAUGCGCAGAUAUCAGGAGGAACACCGAUGGCGAAGGCAGGUCUCUGGGCCACUACUGACGCUGAGGAGCGAAAGCGUGGGGAGCGAACAGGAUUAGAUACCCUGGUAGUCCACGCCGUAAACGGUGGGCACUAGAUGUGGGGCUUAUUCCAUGAGUUCCGCGUCGCAGCUAACGCAUUAAGUGCCCCGCCUGGGGAGUACGGCCGCAAGGCUAAAACUCAAAGGAAUUGACGGGGGCCCGCACAAGCGGCGGAGCAUGCGGAUUAAUUCGAUGCAACGCGAAGAACCUUACCAAGGCUUGACAUAUACGGUCUAUCCCUAGAGAUAGGGAGUGAUUUUUUCGCCGUAUACAGGUGGUGCAUGGUUGUCGUCAGCUCGUGUCGUGAGAUGUUGGGUUAAGUCCCGCAACGAGCGCAACCC
Molecule: ribosomal RNA, 694 nt
Filed under: actinobacterium D19-5C
Lineage: Bacteria; Bacillati; Actinomycetota; Actinomycetes
Description: bacterial SSU rRNA
Rfam family: Bacterial small subunit ribosomal RNA
Source: RNAcentral